Molecule: ribosomal RNA, 861 nt
Filed under: uncultured bacterium
Lineage: Bacteria
Description: bacterial SSU rRNA
Rfam family: Bacterial small subunit ribosomal RNA
Source: RNAcentral
AGAGUUUGAUCAUGGCUCAGGACGAACGCUGGCGGCGUGCUUAACACAUGCAAGUCGAACGGACGGAUUUAGAAGCUUGCUUCUAAUGAAGUUAGUGGCGGACGGGUGAGUAACGCGUGGGUAACCUGCCUUUAAGAGGGGGAUAACACUUCGAAAGGAGUGCUAAUACCGCAUAACAUUAUUAAACUGCAUGGUUUGAUAAUCAAAGGAGCAAUCCGCUUAAAGAUGGACCCGCGUCUGAUUAGCUAGUCGGUGAGGUAAUGGCUCACCAAGGCGACGAUCAGUAGCCGGCCUGAGAGGGUGAUCGGCCACACUGGGACUGAGACACGGCCCAGACUCCUACGGCAGGCAGCAGUGGGGAAUCUUCCGCAAUGGGCGCAAGCCUGACGGAGCAACGCCGCGUGAGUGAAGAAGGUCUUCGGAUUGUAAAACUCUGUCUUCAGGGAAGAAAAAAAUGACGGUACCUGAGGAGGAAGCCCCGGCUAACUACGUGCCAGCAGCCGCGGUAAUACGUAGGGGGCAAGCGUUGUCCGGAAUCAUUGGGCGUAAAGAGCGUGUAGGCGGAUAUUUAAGUCAGAUGUGAAAACUGGCGGCUCAACCGUGAGACUGCAUCUGAUAAUGGAUAUCUUGAGGGUAAGAGAGGGCAGUGGAAUUCCUAGUGUAGCGGUGAAAUGCGUAGAUAUUAGGAGGAACACCAGUGGCGAAGGCGACUGCCUGGCUUACAACUGACGCUGAGACGCGAAAGCGUGGGGAGCAAACAGGAUUAGAUACCCUGGUAGUCCACGCCGUAAACGAUGGGUACUAGGUGUAGGAGGUAUCGACCCCUUCUGUGCCGCAGUUAACACAUUAAGUACCCCGCCU